UACGUAGGGGGCAAGCGUUGUCCGGAAUCAUUGGGCGUAAAGAGCGUGUAGGCGGCUUGGUAAGUCUGCUCUGAAAGCCCGGGGCUCAACCCCGGGAGGCGGGUGGAUACUGUCAAGCUCAAGUCCGGAAGAGGAGUGUGGAAUUCCGUGGUGUAGCGGUGAAAUGCGCAGAUAUCAGGAGGAACACCAAUGGCGAAGGCAGCACUCUGGGACGUGACUGACGCUGAGACGCGAAAGCGUGGGGAGCAAACAGG
RNAcentral lists this ribosomal RNA (254 nucleotides) under uncultured bacterium. Its description in RNAcentral is "partial 16S ribosomal RNA". It matches the Rfam family "Bacterial small subunit ribosomal RNA", at positions 524 to 776 of the family's 1533-position model. The record is from RNAcentral.